Molecule: long non-coding RNA, 1323 nt
Filed under: Marmota monax (woodchuck)
Lineage: Eukaryota; Metazoa; Chordata; Mammalia; Rodentia; Sciuridae
Source: RNAcentral
CAGCCCUCAAAGGAGGAUUUUGUGUAGUAAAUUCUAAUUUAUGAAAAAGUCUGGGUUCUUUACAAUGAACAUGAGGAAAAUAAUUCAAACAAAAUGGUCUUUUCUGGUCACUCCUUUCUCUUUCUCUUUGCCUGUUCCCCAGGUUCACUCUAUCCUUUUUUCUCCCUAUCUGUUCCUGUUAGUCCACCUGAGCACCUCCUUUGCUUAGAAAAAAAUAUCCUCUUCUCUUCUCACCACCUUUGUAAGUGAAUGGAAAAUGGGAAGCUGAUAACAGCACAUUGCUGGAAGUAUCUGAACAGGCCCAAACAACCCUCUGAGAAAGCAGCUUAGUGAUACAAUCAAGAACCAUAAAAUGUCCCUGCCCUCUGACCCAAUACUUCCACUCCAGGAAAUUAUUCAAAAUAUGGGAAAAGCCACAUGUCUGAAGAUUUUCAAUGCAUUGUUAUUUAUUAUAGCAAAAACAAAAGAAAAACUACUUAAAUAUCCAAAAAUAGCCAAAUGUUUAAGUAAAUUAUGGUCAAUUCACGUGAUGGAGAAGAACACACACACACACACACAAGUGCCAGAGCAUGUACAGGCACAGGGACAACGUAAACAUCCAGUGAUAGAUGUUUACAUAAACUUGAGAUUAGUUCAUUAAAUUGGUGAAGCCACUAGAAAUAAUUGUAUAUGUCUAUACUGAUUGACAUGGAAAUAUUUGUCUGUGAUGUAUAAUUAAGUGAAAAGACAGGGUAUAAAAUAACCUGCUAAAACUUCUUAAACUUAAAAGUGUGGGGAUAGGCGUGGGUAUGGAGUAACAUCCUUAUAAUCUCCAUGACUCCAGAGGUUAAGGCAGGAGGAUCGAAAGUCUGAGGACAGCCUGGACUGGGCAAUUUAACUAGACUGUCUCAAAAUACAAAAAAGGCUAGGCAUGUAGGUCAGUAAAGUGCCCCUGGGUUCAUCCCUAGUACCACCACCAAAAAAAAAGGCUGGGGCUGGGGAUAUGAGGAGAGCACUUGCCUAGAAUGUUUGGGGCCCUGGGUUCAAUCCCCAGUUCUGGGAGCAGGGGAGGCUAAAUGUGCUUAUUUGCUUAGAACAAUUCUGGAAGAACACUUGUGCUCAAAGUGAUUGAGUUAAAAGAUUUGCGUAUUCUUUUGUAUACUGAUUCUGAAUGAAACUUUAUAAAAAGAACAUGAACAUUUAAAAAGAAGGCUAUUUCUAGUUCAUUGAUCAAAAUUCAUUAUGAAAACAAUGUAGUAAAAAUGCCAGUGAUGCAUAGUUUAAAAAUGCAAAAUAUGAACUAUCACAUUUACUAUGAUUAACAUUUAAAAACAAGAUGUAUGA